GGGGACUGCGGGUGCUAUACUGCAAGUCGAACGAGUUCUCGUUGAUGAUCGGUGCUUGCACCGAGAUUCAACAUGGAACGAGUGGCGGACGGGUGAGUAACACGUGGGUAACCUGCCCUUAAGUGGGGGAUAACAUUUGGAAACAGAUGCUAAUACCGCAUAGAUCCAAGAACCGCAUGGUUCUUGGCUGAAAGAUGGCGUAAGCUAUCGCUUUUGGAUGGACCCGCGGCGUAUUAGCUAGUUGGUGAGGUAAUGGCUCACCAAGGCGAUGAUACGUAGCCGAACUGAGAGGUUGAUCGGCCACAUUGGGACUGAGACACGGCCCAAACUCCUACGGGAGGCAGCAGUAGGGAAUCUUCCACAAUGGACGCAAGUCUGAUGGAGCAACGCCGCGUGAGUGAAGAAGGCUUUCGGGUCGUAAAACUCUGUUGUUGGAGAAAAAAGGACGUAAGAGGAACUGAUGUCGGCGUGACGGUAUCCUAACCAGAAAGCCACGGCUAAACUACGUGCCAGCAGCCGCGGUAAUACGUAGGUGGCAAGCAUUAUCCGGAUUUAUUGGGCGUAAAGCGAGCGCAGGCGGUUUUUUAAGUCUGAUGUGAAAGCCCUCGGCUUAACCGAGGAAGCGCAUCGGAAACUGGGAAACUUGAGUGCAGAAGAGGACAGUGGAACUCCAUGUGUAGCGGUGAAAUGCGUAGAUAUAUGGAAGAACACCAGUGGCGAAGGCGGCUGUCUGGUCUGUAACUGACGCUGAGGCUCGAAAGCAUGGGUAGCGAACAGGAUUAGAUACCCUGGUAGUCCAUGCCGUAAACGAUGAAUGCUAGGUGUUGGAGGGUUUCCGCCCUUCAGUGCCGCAGCUAACGCAUUAAGCAUUCCGCCUGGGGAGUACGACCGCAAGGUUGAAACUCAAAGGAAUUGACGGGGGCCCGCACAAGCGGUGGAGCAUGUGGUUUAAUUCGAAGCAACGCGAAGAACCUUACCAGGUCUUGACAUCUUUUGAUCACCUGAGAGAUCAGGUUUCCCCUUCGGGGGCAAAAUGACAGGUGGUGCAUGGUUGUCGUCAGCUCGUGUCGUGAGAUGUUGGGUUAAGUCCCGCAACGAGCGCAACCCUUAUGACUAGUUGCCAGCAUUUAGUUGGGCACUCUAGUAAGGCAGCCGGAGACAAACCGGAGGAAGGUGGGGAUGACGUCAAAUCAUCAUGCCCCUUAUGACAUGGGCUACACACGUGCUACAAUGGAUGGUACAACGAGUUGCGAGACCGCGAGGUCAAGCUAAUCUCUUAAAGCCAUUCUCAGUUCGGACUGUAGGCUGCAACUAGCAUACACGAAGUCGGAAUCGCUAGUAAUCGCGGAUCAGCACGCCGCGGUGAAUACGUUCCCGGGCCUUGUACACACCGCCCGUCACACCAUGAGAGUUUGUAACACCCGAAGCCGGUGGCGUAACCCUUUUAGGGAGCGAGCCGUCUAAGGGUGGACAAAAUAGGCUACCUACCU
RNAcentral lists this ribosomal RNA (1490 nucleotides) under unidentified. Its description in RNAcentral is "bacterial SSU rRNA". It matches the Rfam family "Bacterial small subunit ribosomal RNA". The record is from RNAcentral.